This 362-nucleotide ribosomal RNA is filed under the name uncultured Ochrobactrum sp. Its description in RNAcentral is "bacterial SSU rRNA". It matches the Rfam family "Bacterial small subunit ribosomal RNA", at positions 1025 to 1382 of the family's 1533-position model. The record is from RNAcentral. Lineage: Bacteria; Pseudomonadati; Pseudomonadota; Alphaproteobacteria; Hyphomicrobiales; Brucellaceae.
GGACCGGAUACAGGUGCUGCAUGGCUGUCGUCAGCUCGUGUCGUGAGAUGGUUGGGUUAAGUCCCGCAACGAGCGCAACCCUCGCCCUUUAGUUGCCAGCUAUUUUAGGUUGGGCACUCGUAAGGGGACUGCCGGUGAUAAGCCGAGAGGAAGGUGGGGAUGACGUCAAGUCCUCAUGGCCCUUACGGGCUGGGCUACACACGUGCUACAAUGGUGGUGACAGUGGGCAGCGAGCACGCGAGUGUGAGCUAAUCUCCAAAAGCCAUCUCAGUUCGGAUUGCACUCUGCAACUCGAGUGCAUGAAGUUGGAAUCGCUAGUAAUCGCGGAUCAGCAUGCCGCGGUGAAUACGUUCCCGGGCCUU